UUAUGACAAAUUUGUGCGUAUCCGAUGGCU
RNAcentral lists this small RNA (30 nucleotides) under Bombyx mori (domestic silkworm). Its description in RNAcentral is "ovarian small RNA-36852". Lineage: Eukaryota; Metazoa; Arthropoda; Insecta; Lepidoptera; Bombycidae. The record is from RNAcentral.